AAACCAGCACCUCAAGUGGUCAGGAGGAUUAUUGGGCCUAAAGCAUCCGUAGCCUGUUCUAUAAGUUUUCGGUUAAAUCCAUUAGCUCAACUAAUGGGCUGCCGAAAAUACUGUAGAACUAGGGAGUGGGAGAGGUAGACGGUAUUCGGUAGGAAGGGGUAAAAUCCUUUGAUCUAUUGAGGACCACCUGUGGCGAAGGCGGUCUACCAGAACACGUUCGACGGUGAGGGAUGAAAGCUGGGGGAGCAAACCGGAUUAGAAACCCCGGUAGUCC
This 274-nucleotide ribosomal RNA is filed under the name uncultured bacterium. Its description in RNAcentral is "partial 16S ribosomal RNA". It matches the Rfam family "Archaeal small subunit ribosomal RNA", at positions 473 to 747 of the family's 1478-position model. The record is from RNAcentral.